Molecule: non-coding RNA, 201 nt
Filed under: Pseudomonas bubulae
Lineage: Bacteria; Pseudomonadati; Pseudomonadota; Gammaproteobacteria; Pseudomonadales; Pseudomonadaceae
Source: RNAcentral
UGGGUCGACAGAGUGAAACAGGGAAGCCGGUGAGGGCGUGUUGGACCUACACAACCGCCACGAUCCCGGCGCUGCCCCCGCAACGGUAAACGAGUCAAAGCCACGCUCAGUGCCACUGUGUUUUUUGCACGGGAAGGCGCGUGGACAAGGGUGCACCCUACAGGUGCCGCCCGCUUGUGAGCCCGGAGACCGGCCUGAUCC